UUACCAUUAGCUUCUCGAUAAAUGUGUUUGAUCUCAUACUUUCAAUCUAUUUGAAUCAUGAGAAAUAACAAUUUAAGAAGAAGAAGAAAAAUUAACAAUUGAAAAUUAAAACUCUUUCAAAAAAAUGAUAAUGUUAAUACAAUAAGGGAAUCCAUCUCAACAAACAAAAAAGAGAAAUGAGAAAUUUAUGCUACUCGUUAUUCUCAAACCAUGGACUAGGUCCUAGUGCCCGGCCAAAUACAAGGUAUAUUGAGCAAAGUUAUAAGAAAAACCAAUAACAUUAAUUCCUUUAGAGUUCCUAAUGAGACUAUCACAAGUUGAAAGUCAUGUACUACUAUAUAUAGUAGAAUUAUUUGAUAUUGAGCUUGAAAAAAUGAGAGGGAUGAUGCUUCCAUUUCACGUUGAUUUCAUGCUUCCUCUGCUCGACAUAAUAUGAUGAAUGAAGAUUAUAUGAUGAAAAAAUUUAGGUAGCUCUAAAGAUUACUAAGAAAUUGCUCAUGAUUUAGAGUGUGUUUGGUUGUGAAGAGAGUGUGAGAAGAGAGAAAAAUGUAAGAAAGAGUGUGAAAAGAGACCUGAGAAAUAGAAUAGGUUUGAUGUAUUAUUUGGUAGAAAC
Molecule: long non-coding RNA, 613 nt
Filed under: Lathyrus oleraceus (garden pea)
Lineage: Eukaryota; Viridiplantae; Streptophyta; Magnoliopsida; Fabales; Fabaceae
Description: Pisum sativum (pea) long non-coding RNA (PSAT_LNC009994)
Source: RNAcentral